This 149-nucleotide small nuclear RNA is filed under the name Octodon degus (degu). Its description in RNAcentral is "U4 spliceosomal RNA (ENSODEG00000022828.1)". The stretch from base 1 to 66 matches the Rfam family "U4 spliceosomal RNA". Lineage: Eukaryota; Metazoa; Chordata; Mammalia; Rodentia; Octodontidae. The record is from RNAcentral.
AGCUUUGUGCAGUGGCAGUAUCGUAGCCAAUGAGGUUUAUCCGAGGCGCAAUUGUUGCUAAUAGAGUAAGGUCUUACUAUGCAGCUUGAACUUGUAGUGAUCCUAUCUCAGCCUCCCCAGGGCUGGGAUUGCAGACACGUGCCACCACG